This is a long non-coding RNA of Sardina pilchardus (European sardine), 245 nucleotides long. RefSeq lists it as uncharacterized. The record is from RefSeq and is a predicted model, not a curated record. The transcript is spliced from 3 exons. NCBI's taxonomy places the organism in Eukaryota, Metazoa, Chordata, Actinopteri, Clupeiformes, Clupeidae.
AGGCUGAUGCCACACAUGACAGAGUGGUCAAGAGAGAGGAUGGAGAAAAGCUGGCCAAGGAGUGUGGAGUGCCCUUUAUGGAGACCAGUGCCAAAUCUGGCCUGAAUGUGGAGCUGGCAUUCACAGCAGUGGCAAAAGAGCUGAAGCAUCGUCUGAUGAAAGAGCCGAGUGAGAAGUUCCAGCUGCAGGAGUACGUCAACAAGGAGAUGAAGGGGGCUGGAUGCUGCAGGACCUAGAUCUCCCCC